UGGUUUUUUAAAUUUUUUUAGUAAUAUUUUAUUAUAAUUAAUUAUAUUUACAUAUAUUAUUUUAUAUUAAAAAUAUAUCUGCCCGAGCAGUGAGCUCGAGUUUUCUGAGUCGAGCAAAGCAAGCCCGGUUUUUAAAUGUCAGGCCGACCGGGGCCCGACUCAUUGUCGAGCCGAUGACAGUCUUAUACUGCCAAACCCAGCCAAGCAAUCUCACACUCGCCUUUGGCGGAGUCUACCGGCACCACUCGCUGGAACCAGCUUCAGGCGCCACAUGGCAGAGUCACCGCCUCAUCGAUGGACGACCGGGGACGGCCACUGCCAGGCGGUCGCCGACUGAGCGGUGAUUUCGAUAAUUGCGGUGGCCACCUCCAAUGAGAUUUGUUGGCAGCUCCACUAGAAAAUAGUAGAACAAUUGGAUAUAAAGCAUGCUAGUGUGCUUUGUAAAAUCAUUCUCACUGUAUUCAAUUUUGUCUCUUACAUUCAAUGGUGAGAACUUUCUAUUGUGGAGAACUCAAGUUGUUACGCAUCUUGAGAUCAAGAUCUCUAUGGCUUCAUUACUGGAGACAUUGUUGCUCCUCUUGCUGAAGUUGUUGA
Molecule: long non-coding RNA, 594 nt
Organism: Nymphaea colorata (pocket water lily)
Lineage: Eukaryota; Viridiplantae; Streptophyta; Magnoliopsida; Nymphaeales; Nymphaeaceae
Exons: 2
Source: RefSeq, a predicted model, not a curated record